AAUAAAUGCGGUUUUGCACUAUUUAUGUCCAACGUUCGAUCGUUCAUCUUAUUUGAAUAUUUUUAUGAUUAAUAUUUUUUAUUGUUAUUAAAUGAUAAAAUAUGAAUAACACUUUAUGUGUGACUAUUUUUUUUAAUCUUUUAUAAAUUUUUCAAAUAAGACGGACAAUCAAACGUUGGACACGGAUACCCACAGCUGCACUUAUU
Molecule: microRNA precursor, 206 nt
Filed under: Oryza nivara
Lineage: Eukaryota; Viridiplantae; Streptophyta; Magnoliopsida; Poales; Poaceae
Description: MIR812 microRNA precursor family
Rfam family: MIR812 microRNA precursor family
Source: Rfam by way of RNAcentral